Long non-coding RNA from Ipomoea nil (Japanese morning glory), 356 nucleotides. RefSeq lists it as uncharacterized. The transcript has 3 exons. The record is from RefSeq and is a predicted model, not a curated record. Lineage: Eukaryota; Viridiplantae; Streptophyta; Magnoliopsida; Solanales; Convolvulaceae.
GCUCCUUUUCUCCAUGUACCGAAGCCUGUGUUCUCUGCUCCAUAUCGUAAUUCCCACGUAGAAAUGCUUCUUCUGCUAUGUCGUCAUCUAGAUAUAUAUACAUACGUAUAUGCUUUCUCCCCUUGGUAUAUUCCGCCUUGUGUCUGCAUUGUUUACCUCACAAUUAUGUUAGCAGUUUUAAGGUCGUGUAAGUACAGUCCUUCCCCAGUUGCCCUCCCAUCUCUUCUUUUUCUUCUUUUUUUUGGGCACAUCAACCCAUCCGAAUAACUGCUGUUCUUUUCAUUCCCAAAUGCUUUAUUUUUGUUAUUCUUUAUAGGAUAAUUUGUUAUUCUUGUUGUGAUUGGCAUCCCCCCAAA